Trichonephila clavipes is the source of this 77-nucleotide non-coding RNA. Lineage: Eukaryota; Metazoa; Arthropoda; Arachnida; Araneae; Nephilidae. The record is from the annotation of a GenBank genome assembly.
UGUGAAACUGUAGCGCAAUGGAUAGCGUGUUGAACUUCUAAUCCAAAGGUCGUGGGUUCGAAUCCCACGUGGCAUAA